Molecule: RNA transcript, 5938 nt
Organism: Podarcis raffonei (Aeolian wall lizard)
Lineage: Eukaryota; Metazoa; Chordata; Lepidosauria; Squamata; Lacertidae
Gene: NETO1
Gene name: neuropilin and tolloid like 1
Exons: 11
Source: RefSeq, a predicted model, not a curated record
UCAAACAGGGCUUGCUUUGCAGGUUGUCUCCUGCGCUUAGGACCCCCAUCCUCUCUUAGUGGCAUCUAGAACAGAAGAGAGACUCUUCCCCUUCUCUGCAUCAGCUUUGGAAGCAGCAGGUGUUGGAGGAGGAGGAGCUGCAGCAGCCGGAGGAGGAGGAUGAGGUCGAAAAGGGGUGCAUGGUUCCCCCUCCCUUCUGCUCCUUAACUAUCAAACGAUUUUAUUUUCAGUCACCUCUCUCUUCUCCCGCCUCCCUCUUCUUCCUGGGUGGAUGCCUUUGCCAGUGGGAGAGGGAGAUCGAGAAGGAAGCAGCGGCGGCGGCGGCGUCUGCCGGCUGGGAAAUCCUUGUGUGUGAAAGAAGCUGGUACUGCGGACUUUGCCCUUGGCAGCAGCUGUGGGAGCCGCUGGCAGGAGCCAGAAAGAAGGAAGUUGGGCCCUGCCGGGGGGGAGGGCAUCUCUGUCCCCUUCCAGCUCCCGCACUAGGUCUCUAGAUGCCCCCUUUUCCUCGCCGCCUCCUUUCUCACCCUUGACCAGCAUCUCCUCCUGCUGCUGCCGGAGCGCGCUCGCCGUCUUUGGGAUGGUGCUGCCUUGAUGGGGAAGAGGCGGCGGCGGCGGAGAAAGGCGCCUACCUAAGCGGGUAGGAGAGAGGACCCCUCCCCCCCUUCCUCGCCUAUCUCUGGAGUGAGGGGAAGAGGCAAGCGUGCGAUCAGCCGCCAGAGGAUCCACAGCGAAACUUUUAUUGCAGCUUCCACCCACCCACCCAUCCCCCAGCCAUCCUCACCCCCGGACAGCAUCCUGCGCGCUUGCAAAUGGAGGGACUGCGGCUCGCAGGAAGAUUCCUGGUCUAAAUUGGCAAAGGGGGAAGCAGCAGGAGGAGGUGGUGGUGAAGAGCAAGGCACAAGUUAAAGGGCGACCAGAGAGGAGGCGGCCCCUCUUUUUUCUUUUUAAUCUUUUCUUUUUAAUCUCCGCGACUCUCCUGGCUUCUCUUCGCCCUUCGCCACUUAGGAGGAUCUCUAGGGGGAAACAACACACACCCAGAUUAUUGUCCUGGACUGUUGAAGAGGACACCCCCCCCCCCGGGCCGGCUUUCCUUUCCUUCUUCCUCUCUUCCUGCCCUGCUGCUGCUGAGCGAUGGGCUUCUUCCAACCCUCCGCUCCGGCUUGAUCCUGUGUCGCAAGGGAGGCAAAAUGGACUUGGCCGGUUUGGAAAGACUUCGGCUGUAACUGAAUGGCGCGCAGAGAUCCUUAAGCCCCUCCUUGGGUGACUCUUUCUCCUCCACCCCCCUCCACCCUCUACCCCCUUUUGCUGCCUUCCCCUCAGCUCUAGCCUCUCCCCUCUUUGGGUGUCUCUCCCACCACCUUGCCCGUCCGAGAAGCGAGAUCAAGGAACUGAUGACGGACCCAUCGCUCACCCCCCCCUCGAUGCAUCAAAAGAACCUCCAGGGCCGGGAAAGGUUGGCCUCGAAAUUCUCCAGGAAAUACUUGGGGCUGCUUUUGGUGUUGUAUGAAACUGGUGAUUAAAGGGGGGGAGCCUGGAAAGGAGGAGAGGAGACGAACCCUCUCCCCCCCCCCACCUUCACUUUCUCGAGCCUAGUGGCUCCUGCCGGUGGUGGACUGCGAUCUCUGGAAGUGGAGCUUGUGCGUCGAGGGCUCUUGCUCUCCCUUCCCCGCCUUGCCCUUCUCGGCCAGUUAUGCAGACUCCCUGUGGUGGUUGUUGCUGCUCCUGCUGCUGCUGCUGCUGCUAGGAUGCGAUGCUGGCCGCUCCGGAGCCAGGGGAUGGAGAUGGGGGGCUGAUCAUCGCCAGACGACGGUGAGAGGGGAAAGGAGAGAAAGAGCUGGAGAGACGGGGGCGCUGAUCCACUUGGGUUCAGCGCGAAGCGCGCGUGGGCUUCAGGCUGCUGCUCGGGUCUCCCUCCUCUUCCCACCGCAGGAAGCCCUCUCGUCUCUAAAUGGAAUUAGUGGAGAUCGAAGCCCCUUGUGUAAGGAACAGACAUGAUCCAUGGGCGCAGCUUGUUUCACAUUGUAGCAAGUUUUAUCAUCCUACAUUGGGCUGGGGCAACAAAAAAAGGAGCAGAAAAGCAAACCACGUCAGAAGGACAAAAGACAGUACAGUGUGGAACGUGGACAAAAUACCCAGAAGGAGGCAUCUUCACUUCUCCCAAUUACCCCAACAAAUAUCCUCCUGAGAGAGAGUGUGUCUACAUUAUAGAAGCUGCCCCAAGACAGUGUAUUGAGUUACACUUUGAUGAAAAAUAUUCCAUAGAGCCUUCGUGGGAGUGUAAAUUUGAUCAUAUUGAAGUGCGGGAUGGACCUUUUGGAUUUUCCCCAAUAAUUGGUCGUUUCUGUGGACAACAAAACCCACCCAAAAUAAAAUCCAGUGGUAGAUUCCUGUGGAUUAAAUUUUUUGCUGAUGGUGAACUUGAAUCUUUGGGAUUUUCUGCACGAUACAAUUUUACACCUGAUCCGGAUUUCAAGGACCUUGGGGUUUUGAAACCAUUGCCAGUUUGUGAGUUUGAGAUGGGAGGAUCUGAAGGAAUUGUGGAAUCUGUGCAAAUUGGGAAAGAAGGGAAAGCUUCGGACACCGAGGCAGUUGAUUGUAAAUGGUACAUCCGAGCACCACCAAGAUCCAAGAUAUAUUUACGGUUCUUGGACUAUGAAAUGCAGAAUUCUAAUGAAUGCAAAAGGAAUUUUGUGGCUGUCUAUGAUGGAAGUAGCUCAGUGGAGGAUUUAAAAGCUAAGUUUUGCAGCACUGUUGCUAAUGAUGUGAUGCUGCGCACAGGUCUUGGAGUAAUCCGCAUGUGGGCAGAUGAAGGCAGCCGAAGCAGCCGAUUCCAGAUGCUCUUCACAUCUUUCCAAGAACCCCCCUGUGAAGCCAACACAUUCUUUUGCCAUAGUAACAUGUGUAUUAAUAAUACAUUGGUCUGCAAUGGACUCCAGAACUGUGUGUAUCCAUGGGAUGAAAACCACUGCAAAGAAAAAAGAAAAGCCAACAUACUGGACCAGCUUACUAAUACCAGUGGGACAAUAAUUGGGGUGACCUCUUGUAUUGUGGUCCUCCUUAUCAUUAUCUCUGUUAUAGUACAAAUCAAGCAGCCUCGUAAAAAAUAUGUCCAGAGGAAAGCAGACUUUGAUCAAACAGUAUUCCAGGAGGUGUUUGAGCCUCCUCACUAUGAGUUAUGCACUCUUAGAGGGACAGGAGCUUCAGCGGACCUUGCAGACGUUGCAGAUGACUUUGAAAAUUAUCAUAAACUGCGGAGAUCAUCUUCAAAAUGCAUUCAUGACCACCACUGUGGAUCACAGUUAUCUAGCACUAAGGGCAGCCGUAGUAACCUCAGCACAAGAGAUACGCCUAUCUUGACAGAAAUUCAACCCCAGCCUGUAAAGCCUCUCAUACAGCCCAUGAACAGAAGAAAUAUCCUCGUAAUGAAGCAUAGCUACUCACAAGAUGCUGCAGAUGCGUGCGAGAUAGAUGAAAUCGAAGAGGUACCAACCACGAGUCACAGGCUAUCCAGACAUGAUAAAGCUGUCCAGCGCCAUAACAUUCCAGGUUCUGCCUCAUUGGGUCUCUAAACAAACAUGAAUCUGAGUACAACACAACUAGGGUGUAAAAGGCAAACUGAAGGUGUGGACUGACACAAAAACAACAACUUUUAUGCUAGGGAAAACUCCCCAUGUUUAUUCCUGUUGAGCACACUGACCUUUCCUCUUAUUGAAAGGAAACAUAAUGUUGGUACAUGGGGAAGAAAAAUAGGCAUAAAAGGAUAAUUCCUAGAUGCCAGGAUUCAACUUUGGGCAAGUAUUCCUUGGUGAGAGAACCCCAGAAGAGGUUUAAAAAUCACAAAACAUACAGCAAAGUGAAGAAUGGAAUUAUAGGCUAUUAGACCUUUAAAAUAUGCCCUUUAAAGUGAGUUCCAAAGUUUCCCACUUCCCUAGCAUUGAAAAUGACCAUGUUUGGUAAGUUAAAAAUGGUUUACUUACAAACUCUCCAAAGGUCAGAUUCAUAUUCUUUUCCAUAUAGCAUUCGUAAAAAGUUGCACAGGCAGUAACACUUGACUUAGUUAUAGAGUGGUGAAAGUUCCUAAAUUAUUGGUAUAGGAACUCAAGAGUGACUCAUGAAAGCCAUCCAGUGUGAGCUGGAGCCACCAGCUCAAACCUCUUUGCACUCUGAACUUCUCAGGUAGACUGGGGGUUGAACAAUAGGCUUGAUUACCCAUUUUCUCCCAAGGUAAGGGAAGUGGAUAUAGCUGAGUCUGGCAGGACAGUUUACUCUAUGAUAUUAACUCCUUCAUAUAUUAAUUAGACUUAAGCAUGUUGAUUAUAUGAGGCUGGUUAUCCCACACAUAAGAGCACCAAAUAGUCACUAUAAGUAUCUGAGCUGCAGUUUGGGUGUGUUUUUUCAGAUGGAUGUGUAUUCUAUGUAGUGAAACACAUAGAAACAAAAUGUAUAACUAUUAGUAAGAUAUACAAGCUUUUGAUUUUUCAGGAGAAGGGAGAAGUCGUAAGUCAUUCUUUGCUUUAUACAUACAAACAUUUUGACACUUAGCCAGUAUUUUCAGGCCUUGAGUGAAUGUGGUGGUGGUGGAGAGACAGAAUUCUCACUUUGAGUCAACUAUUUUUAUUCACACCAAAAAAUUUCAAAUAUUUCUUCUUACCUUCUUAUAGAUAGUUCUAUUUGACAGCUAUUUUUUUAUUCUGGAAUUUGGCUCAGAUGGAAUUACAUGUGCUUUAGUCUGAGAUCUAUUUUGACCUGAAACUGAAGAACUUUUGCACUGCCCUACCAGCCAGUCGAGUUGCUGGUCACAAUCACUUACCUGUGCUUUGGAUUUUGGAGGUCAGACUACCGUUGUACUACUGCGAUCACACUUUUUCCAAUUACUGGCAUACCAAAACAACACCCUAAAUGACUUUGUGUCCUGGUGCCACAUUUCUGUCUACAACAUUUCCCUUUUGUCUAUUUAAAAGCAGGUCAUACAAUCAGGCUGCCUGCAGUCUUGUGGACAAUGAAGUCAAUGAAGCACUUAUAUGCCUAGCUGUCUUCAAGGUUCUAGUCAUUCAUCUUAAUUAAGAGCACAUUUAUUUUGCAAUAUAGAGCAGUUUACAAACAGCCCAAGUGUGGAUAUUCUACAUGUGCAGUGAGCCUCUCACUGCCACCACCACAAAUACUUGGAAUAUGCAGACAUUUGUAUGAAAGGGGCUUACAUGAGUACAAAUUGGUUUUUUAGAAAAAGAAAGGGAAUUAAAGGCACCAAAAUAAUGUCAUUCAUUGUGUACUUGUAUAUUAUAUGUCCUGUCAAAGACAAUUAUUCACAUUGAACUUGUUAUAUGUACAUUGUUUUCAUUAUGUAGACUGCUUGGGAAUAGUGCGAUCCUGGGUGCUUUUGAAUAUACUACAGUGAAUUGUGAAAAUAUCGACCGUGGAACUGCAAGCUAGAGAUGUUCUGGACUCUGACCAGCUAUUCCAAUUUCAUGAAAAAAACCCCACACAUCAGUCAGUAAUGAGUAAAAUUAAUGGAUGGCAAUAAGACUCUAAUUACUAUCAUUGCUAUCAUUUAUUCUUAUUAUUGUCAUCAUCUGUUUUCUUUAUUUCUUUAUAUUUAUUUUGUUCUGUUUUGUUACAAAGAAAAGAUAACCCAGUUUCAGGAAUAAAAUGAUUAAAUCAGGUACUAUUUAUCCAUUCACAAUCACUUCAGUAGAUAUAUUUGUUGGAUAAAAAUCUAACAAUAUGACUGAACUCAACAACGAGGAACUGGUUUGCAUGUAUGUUGCUGAAUAUUUGAGUUGGCAAACAACAACAAAAAUCCCUUUGAUGAGAUACAUUGUAAAAAGCAUGCAUCCGUACUUACUGCUGUUCCUAUCCAUUUCUUUGUGUCAUAUGCUUGCUAAUUGUAACUUUUUAUAUAAAGAUACAUAAAACAAUGUAUAAUAAUUUCUUACACUGA